UUUACAGAUGAGGAAACCUCGUCAUAAACAGACAAGCAGCUUGCCCAAGGGCACACAGUUUGAGAUCCUUCUUGCUGUACCUCCAUUGUGCUUGGUAUUUCAAAAAUCUAUGCCCGGCAACCUCUGCUACUAAAUACCUGGACAAAGAGCAGUGAAUCACAUGCUAAGAAGCCAUUAGGGUGGGGGCAGCUGGAUACAGAGCCCGGAGGUUUGAGCCAGUGCCGGCUUGUCACCCUCCUUCUCUGUUUACCCUGCUGCGGCGGCAGCCAAAGUGCAGCCUGGUGCUGAAGUCACCAGCCAGGGAGGGCCUCUCGUGCCCCGUCUCACUGCACCAUGUGCUCUGGGUACCUCUGCUUUAGAGCCCUGGCCUGUGCUUGGAGGCAAGAAGAAAAAUUAGCUUAACCUAAGAUGGCUUGACACUUGAACACGGGGCAGAUUGUGUAAGUGCCCCAGGUCUGCAUUCCUGUCUGUGUCACUACCCUCUGCCAUGGGACUUCGCAGUUCUUCCUAUCAAGAGAUGAUCCACUGAUUCGACUGGGGCAACUGCUCUGGAUGUUGGUAGAUGGGAUGCCAGCAGUGGCUUGGAAGCGUGCUUGCAUCACUGGACUUCUUCUCUUGCCCCUUUACUGUUUCCAUGAGAAGAGCACGCCUGGGCUGGCCCAGGGCCCUAGGAUGGGAAUAAGAUACAUGAGGCAGAGCUGCCCCCAGGAAGCUGCCCAGCCCAGCCCAGCUGAGAACAGAACCAUCCAGCUGACCCAGAGAUGCAUGAACAAACCCAGCCACGAUCGAUCGGCAGGUCUGCCUAGCCAACCUUCACCCGAACUGCCGGUGCAGGAGCUGGAGUAGGAAGUGAUUACUGUGUUAAGCCUCUGAAUUUUGAGGUGGUUUGCUCCCCAGCAAUUGCGUUGAGGUCAUGGCCUCUGAGACUAAUAUGAUGACGAUAUGAGCAACGAGAAACAAAAGCACUUUGCAAAUGUCAAAUUGUGAGGAGAGGGAAUAGACUGUUGAACACAUUCUGGACCUGGAACCUGAAGACCUGAGUUCAAAGCCACUCAUGCCCCCAAUUACUCUACACACCUGGGCAGAUAAUUUAAAAUUUCUGGGUCUUACUGUAAACUUACAGAGCUGGCUUGCAAUCUCAAAGCCAUGAGAGCUUCGAGAGUAUGUCAGAAAAUUAAUAUGGUCCUAGAACUUCAUUGGUAGAGAGUUAAGAAAAAGACAGGGAAGGUGGGAGAGAGGUCAGAGAAUAAUUUAUUUGGGUAUAAAUGAAAUGUGAUACCCCAAAAAGGGACAGAUGUAUGGAGUGGGGAAUUGGAUGAUUUUGAAGAAUAUGUUUGAUCAAAGGCUGAGAGGUAGACUUGGAGGCCAGAUAUAAAGUCCCAUUUCUUCAGAGACCUGGAAGUGUGGGAUUCAUGAAUGAAUAGGAAGGAGAAAACCUUGAAAAUGGCUUACAGAAGACACCUUCCCGACAUCUCUUCACUUGGAGUACAGCAAAGCUGGAGACAAUUAUGAAGUCUUUGGUCAGGUGGAGAGAUAAUAGUCCAGACUGGCCGUUCCAUACACCUGUCUGGCUCUCUCUGAGCUACCUUUGACUUUUCUUGAUUGUGUAUUACCUGGCCUUGGACAAGUCGCCCAUCCUGUGGAUGAGUGGAUGAAACACGGUUCAUCUAUUCAUUAUGUAUCGGUUACAUGCCACGUUCCAGGAACUAUCUGGACCCUGGGGAUGAAACUGUCUUCAGACCUGGUUCCCGAGCUGGCUACCAACUCAGGAUAUUGGAAAUAACCUAAAUGACCAUCACUGGGAACAGUUAAAUAAAUUAUGGUGCCUCCUUAGGAUGAAAUAGCAUGCAACUAUGAAGAAGAAAGGAAAGAAGGAAGAGAAGAAGAGGAAGAGGCUCCUCAUGCAUUCACAUGGAGCAUUUCCAAGGUGUCCUGUUCAAUGAAGAUGGUAGGAUAAUGCCCAGGGGAGAAAGGGAGUCCCUGGGAUUCCAGGAGGAGGUCACUAUGACUUACUGGAUCAGAGGCAGUGUAUGACAUUGCUGUUGUGCAAGUACAUGGGGGCCGAAGAGCCUCGUCCAGUUGUGUCUCUGGCUGUUUGUCUGCAGACGGUUCCAGACUGAAAACUGGUGUGAAAUAUGCUUCCCACACAUUCAGAGCUGCACCCAGCCUGCCUCUGUGCUCACGGAGAAAUCACAAAUGGAAGUCCUCUUCCUGAAAGCAAAUGCUAAAGGGUACAAGUGGUUCUUAAAAGUAAUUUUUCUAGUAUCGAUCAGAACUUCAGUUGAUGUUUUCAUUUUAAAAAGGGGGUUGCUAAAAUAAUAACAGGGUGGCUAUUUUCAGGUCUUUAAAAGUAUUAAAUAGGUUGUGGGUGCUAUCAUGUGAAGAGGUCUAUGCUCUAUUGCUAAGUGGUAAGAGCAAGUCUCCUGGCAGCAGCAUUACUGCUUCGGCUGGAAGCAUCACAUAUAGGUUAGGUAUGGAGUCGGGGAGGCUACCCUCCAGCUGGGGUACAGGACACGUGGGAAGGAGGGUGCAGAAUGGGAAUGUCACUCUUUGCUUUUGAAUUGUUGUGGUAUUUGACGAGCAGGUUAAUGCGUAUAAAGAAGAAAUUCUUAUGGCAUUUAGUGUAUUCCAGAAAAGAACAGCCCCACAGUACCUUCCUCAGGCUCAAGCCCAUGAUAAGAAAAUAAGACGAAAAUGCUAGUUAGGGAAGUAGAGGCAGGGAGGCGAUAGUAAAAGUCUUCCUUGAUUCCACAAACUGCUUCUCCAGGCUUAACUCCCCAGCAGAAUCUAGUCUGGUUAAGAGCUUGGAUUUGUCUCGUUGGGCAAGUUUCUUAUGUCUCUAGGCCUCAGUUUCCUCAGCUGUAACAUGAGGCAGCUGUGGUAAAAUGAACUAAGGUAUAGAAAGCACCACUUUGCAGAUGGUGGCCACCACCUCGGAGGCCUUCCGUAAUUACUGGCUAUUAUUACCAUUGUCUACCUGACAUUUCCAAACACUUAGCCUUGCCCUUGUACUUUUCCUUGACCCUUUAAUUAUUUAUUGGCUUGACCCCCUACUAGAAUGUGCAACCCUUAGAAGCAGGUUUGUAAGUUCUUUUAAUUGUUUUUCUUCUUUGCUGACAAAAAUAAUACAUUCUUUUUUAAAAAAUAUAUAU
Molecule: long non-coding RNA, 3152 nt
Organism: Myotis lucifugus (little brown bat)
Lineage: Eukaryota; Metazoa; Chordata; Mammalia; Chiroptera; Vespertilionidae
Exons: 4
Source: RefSeq, a predicted model, not a curated record